GUGGUUCGUAAUGGCAGACAAAGGUAAAGAGGUGAGUGACAAUGGCCGAUCCUUGCUAGAGCUGGGUGGUGGGGAAGAUUCUUGGGCUCAUCUAGCUCAGGGACUGCCAUGGCGGUCCUAGUGGAUAGAGCACAAGAUAACACUAGAGGAAGUGGAGCAACUCUAGUGGUUCUUCACCAAAGUGCUUGAGUUCUCAGAGGAGA
Molecule: long non-coding RNA, 203 nt
Filed under: Elaeis guineensis (African oil palm)
Lineage: Eukaryota; Viridiplantae; Streptophyta; Magnoliopsida; Arecales; Arecaceae
Description: long non-coding RNA (EGUI_LNC034813)
Source: RNAcentral